RNAcentral lists this ribosomal RNA (200 nucleotides) under uncultured bacterium. RNAcentral's name for it is "partial 16S ribosomal RNA". It matches the Rfam family "Bacterial small subunit ribosomal RNA", at positions 335 to 526 of the family's 1533-position model. The record is from RNAcentral.
AUUCCUACGGGAGGCAGCAGUAGGGAAUCUUCCACAAUGGGCGCAAGCCUGAUGGAGCAACACCGCGUGAGUGAAGAAGGGUUUCGGCUCGUAAAGCUCUGUUGUUAGAGAAGAACGUGCGUGAGAGCAACUGUUCACGCAGUGACGGUAUCUAACCAGAAAGUCACGGCUAACUACGUGCCAGCAGCCGCGGUAAUAAU